UGUGUAGGCGGUUUGGUAAGUCUGGUGUGAAAUCUCCCGGCUCAACUGGGAGGGUGCGCCGGAAAUUGCCGGACUCGAGUGCGGGAGAGGAGAGUGGAAUUCCUGGUGUAGCGGUGAAAUGCGUAGAUAUCAGGAGGAACACCGGUGGUGUAGACGGCUCUCUGGACCGUAACUGACGCUGAAACACGAAAGCGUGGGUAGCAAACAGGAUUAGAUACCCUGGUAGUCCACGCCCUAAACGAUGCAUAUUUGGUGUGGGUCAUUCAGUUGAUCCGUGCCGGAGCUAACGCGUUAAAUAUGCCGCCUGGGGAGUACAGUCGCAAGGCUGAA
This 330-nucleotide ribosomal RNA is filed under the name uncultured bacterium. RNAcentral's name for it is "bacterial SSU rRNA". It matches the Rfam family "Bacterial small subunit ribosomal RNA", at positions 568 to 898 of the family's 1533-position model. The record is from RNAcentral.